This 253-nucleotide ribosomal RNA is filed under the name uncultured bacterium. Its description in RNAcentral is "partial 16S ribosomal RNA". It matches the Rfam family "Bacterial small subunit ribosomal RNA", at positions 524 to 776 of the family's 1533-position model. The record is from RNAcentral.
UACGUAGGGGGCAAGCGUUGUCCGGAAUCAUUGGGCGUAAAGCGCGUGUAGGCGGCCCAGUAAGUCCGCUGUGAAAGCCCAGGGCUCAACCCUGGGAUGCCGGUGGAUACUGUUGGGCUCGAGUCCGGAAGAGGCGAGUGGAAUUCCCGGUGUAGCGGUGAAAUGCGUAGAUAUCUGGAGGAACACCGGUGGCGAAGGCGGCAUCCUGGACCAAUACUGACGCUGAGGAGCGAAAGCCAGGGGAGCAAACGGG